GUGUCAGCAGCCGCGGUAAUACGGAGGAUCCGAGCGUUAUCCGGAUUUAUUGGGUUUAAAGGGUGCGUAGGCGGCUUGAUAAGUCAGGGGUGAAAUCCACAGGCUCAACCUGUGGCUUGCCUUUGAUACUGUUUAGCUUGAAUCUAUUUGAAGUGGGCGGAAUAAGACAAGUAGCGGUGAAAUGCAUAGAUAUGUCUUAGAACUCCAAUUGCGAAGGCAGUUCACUAAGUUAGUAUUGACGCUGAUGCACGAAAGCGUGGGUAUCGAACAGGAUUAGAUACCCUGGUAGUCCACGCCCUAAACUAUGAUAACUCGAUGUUGGCGAUAUACUGUCAGUGUCUUAGCGAAAGCGUUAAGUUAUCCACCUGGGGAGUACGACCGCAAGGUUGAA
This 391-nucleotide ribosomal RNA is filed under the name uncultured bacterium. Its description in RNAcentral is "bacterial SSU rRNA". It matches the Rfam family "Bacterial small subunit ribosomal RNA", at positions 505 to 898 of the family's 1533-position model. The record is from RNAcentral.